AUCUUUUAUUAUUCCGGCCGUAGGUUCGAGGGUAGACCGUGUAUCGUGAGUAAUCACGUGCGAAGACUUUUAUUAUUUUUCUGUUCUAUUCUUUAUGGCGUAUAUUAGCAGUUUCUAAACAAUCGGUUACUCAACGCGAGGAAUGUUAUCUAGAAAAAAUAUUUUGAAAAUUUGAGGUCGAUAACGCAACACGUCUUCUUUGUCAACUAUCUUCUUUAAUGAUCUCUAAGGUCUAUACAGACCUUACUAAGGCGAAACUACGCGGGCCUUUGUACAGUCGUUCGGAAAACUAUGGGAAGUCUUUAAGAGGAAGAAAUUAUUCAAUCAAUAUACAGGCUGUUUCUGAUGUUACUGCAGCUUGUCCAAAACGAUUGGAGAUAACCAAAUUGCAAUCACGAUAGAGUAAUCCGUUUCUCUGAAACCUCUGUUACUUGAAAUGAGAAUGUUGCCUUCGUGAAAAUUUCAUGUAAUCGUAUUUUUUUUUAUUGCAAUUCGUCCAAUUUCAUUAGACGUGGUCAAACUGCAAUCACUUACUUUUUCUUUUAGUUGAUUUCUUUUUGAUUAUUUUCAGCAAAACCUUUUCUAUAAAAGGAAACGCCUUUUUAUCAAAAUCUUACAUCGGACGAACCGAAAUUAUUUACAAUCGGACGACAUCAUGUGUAUAGCUUCCGUUGUCAAGUACACAACGGGAAGAAAGAAACAAGUAUAUAUAAAAUAUUGCUGAACGUUAAAGAAAUGAUGUUUGUUAAAAUUAAAAAUAAAGUACCGAAAAAAAUGCAAAUCCUGUAAGAAAUACUAUAAUUAAGGAUAAAUGUUCAAUAAAAUUUAUGUAUAUUUAUCUAAAGACGUUUUGUUUUUCUUUUUUUUUUUCUUUUACUUAAUAAACAUAU
RNAcentral lists this unclassified non-coding RNA (890 nucleotides) under Bombus terrestris (buff-tailed bumblebee). RNAcentral describes it as "misc RNA ENSBTSG00005033882.1". Lineage: Eukaryota; Metazoa; Arthropoda; Insecta; Hymenoptera; Apidae. The record is from RNAcentral.